Molecule: non-coding RNA, 91 nt
Organism: Marasmius oreades (fairy-ring Marasmius)
Lineage: Eukaryota; Fungi; Basidiomycota; Agaricomycetes; Agaricales; Marasmiaceae
Source: the annotation of a RefSeq genome assembly
GGUUCGAGGACCGCGUAGUUGGUUAUCGCAUCUGUCUAACAUUGUAAAAUACCUGCACAGAAGGUCCCCAGUUCGAACCUGGGUCGAAUCA